This 467-nucleotide long non-coding RNA is filed under the name Linum usitatissimum (flax). Its description in RNAcentral is "long non-coding RNA (LUSI_LNC001656)". The record is from RNAcentral. Lineage: Eukaryota; Viridiplantae; Streptophyta; Magnoliopsida; Malpighiales; Linaceae.
GCGGUGAAAUCGCCGAUUUGGGUGGAGUCGCUGGUAUGAUUAGGGCACGACCUCUCUCUCAGUCUCGACUCUGAAUAGCUGAACGGAUCUGAAUAGGUAGAGCCAGCAGUUAAAAAUUCAAACGGUCAGGUUUGUAUUAUACGUCGUCGUUUUAAAGCAUACUGCUGACAGCCAAUGCAAUUACAAAGACAGCCCAUCGGCCAUCUCUGCUUCCUUACUAGCUCGAUAACUCUUCAGUCUCUCUAAAGUAUAAACCAAUCCGGUGACGCUUCUCCCAAGAAGCACGAUCCGCGAGAGAACUCUCCGACAGCAUUGAUAUCUCCGCUUCCAUUUGAGCUGUUCAUAGAAACCUUUGAAUACCCGUGGCGGCGGUGGUGGCUUUUUUCUUUUCAACGGCCAGCAAGGGGGUUUAACUAGGGUUUUACCAAAGAUGGCGUUUCGUUUGGCCUUACAUCGCUCGCGGACGA